CCCUAUUAUUUUAGAAUGUUAAUUUUUGUGCCUGAGUAGUAUUAGUUAUGUUCUUGAAACUUAAAGAAUUUGGCGGUAUCUCAUUCCGUCCAGAGGAAUCUGUCCCGUUAUCGAUAGUCCGCGUUGGACCUUACUUAUUUGCUUUUGGUUUGUAUACCGCCGUUUAUUGAUUAUCUUUUUAGAGGUUGACUUAAUUUUCUGGUUUCUUUAUUUUGAUGUAUUUCAGGUCAAGGUGCAGCUUGUUUUUAAGUGGAUGAUGGAUUACAUUAUUAUUUGUUUAUGGAUUGUCGGUUUUAAUAUUGGCAUGAAAUUGGAUUUGGUUGUAAUGAUUUGUAGAUUGUUAUUGUGAUAAUUGGUUCUGAGAUAUGCACACAUCGCCCGUCGCUCUCGUUUGUUUAUUAUAAUGAGAUAAGUC
Molecule: ribosomal RNA, 415 nt
Filed under: Nasutitermes macrocephalus
Lineage: Eukaryota; Metazoa; Arthropoda; Insecta; Blattodea; Termitidae
Description: partial small subunit ribosomal RNA
Source: RNAcentral